CUAACCUACGGGAGGCAGCAGUGGGGAAUAUUGGACAAUGGGGGGAACCCUGAUCCAGCGACGCCGCGCGAGUGAAGAAGUAUUUCGGUAUGUAAAGCUCUAUCAGCAGGGAAGAAAGAAAUGACGGUACCUGACUAAGAAGCCCCGGCUAACUACGUGCCAGCAGCCGCGGUAAUACGUAGGGGGCAAGCGUUAUCCGGAUUUACUGGGUGUAAAGGGAGCGUAGACGGCAAUACAAGUCGGAAGUGAAAUACCCGGGCUCAACCUGGGAACUGCUUUGGAAACUGUAUGGCUGGAGUGCUGGG
RNAcentral lists this ribosomal RNA (305 nucleotides) under uncultured bacterium. Its description in RNAcentral is "bacterial SSU rRNA". It matches the Rfam family "Bacterial small subunit ribosomal RNA", at positions 332 to 653 of the family's 1533-position model. The record is from RNAcentral.